GUUCAAGAGGAUUUUCAUGGAGUUAAAAAUAUUGGAUUGAAAACAUGGCAAGCCAAGCACGAUCUCCAAACCAUCAGUCUUCUCCAAAAUGGAAACCUAUAAAGUUCAAUACAAAAAAUGCAUAUACCUAAGGAGAGAUUGACGUAAUUCGAACCCAAUGGGCAAGUUUUGUUGCCCGAUUUGUUUAAGGAUGUACUUCUUGUUUUUUGUCUCAAUAGAAUUUAAAUGCUAGCUUAGAAUGAAUGCAAAUUUAUCUAACCAUGAUCUAGUUAUUGAAAGAUUUAUGUAUAAUAUUUUUCUAUUUAUAAAGUAUUUGGUGUUAAGUAUUCAUGGAAGUACUAAUUGAUAUUU
Non-coding RNA from Benincasa hispida (wax gourd), 351 nucleotides. Lineage: Eukaryota; Viridiplantae; Streptophyta; Magnoliopsida; Cucurbitales; Cucurbitaceae. The record is from RefSeq and is a predicted model, not a curated record.